Molecule: long non-coding RNA, 302 nt
Filed under: Manihot esculenta (cassava)
Lineage: Eukaryota; Viridiplantae; Streptophyta; Magnoliopsida; Malpighiales; Euphorbiaceae
Description: long non-coding RNA (MESC_LNC005692)
Source: RNAcentral
ACACACCCAAAUUGUUCCCAAACUUCCGACCCAUAUGUCCACCGGAGUUGAGAAUCCUAUUGAUCCGCAAUUUCAAGGUGUCACCAGGCUCAGCAGAGCGUAUACCAUCCAAAGAACCCUUAGCCCCCCCAAUGAUCGCUCCAGAUAAGUAGCCGGUUCCGGUAUAGUAUUGAAGGUUUUCACUCCAGCUGCGGCGCUGAUGGGCAGCUUCUUCAUGAAAAAGGAACUCAGGAGAAGUGGGUAAUUUGUAUAAGCUUUGAGCAGGAACGUUGUAGAGAUCCUGAUAUGGGUGGUAAUUGUAG